This is a long non-coding RNA of Bactrocera neohumeralis, 3661 nucleotides long. RefSeq lists it as uncharacterized. The record is from RefSeq and is a predicted model, not a curated record. Lineage: Eukaryota; Metazoa; Arthropoda; Insecta; Diptera; Tephritidae. The transcript is spliced from 4 exons.
UUACAGUUAAAAGAAAAAAAGGCGCGUAUAUCAGCACAGAUAUCAUAACAGUUGAAGCAACAGGAGGCGUGUUAAUAAAAUAAAAUUAAGGUCGAAAUGAAUAAGUUGAUUGAUCGUCCUAGUGAGCUAUAAGCUAACUGUUCCAGUAAUCCAACUGACCAUAAACGUAAAAAGAGGCCAAAGAAGACAUUAUACAAUAACAUCGACAAUCUUCAAUUCAAUCCAAAGGAGUGACGAAAAUGUAAGCAGCAAAAUUCACAUUUGAAAGUGUAAUACAUGUAGUGGAGAUGAAUAAACGUCCAACGAAAGAAGAAGUAGCUGCAGAAAGAUCAGUCGUAAAGUGGUAUCGAACUGCCUGCAUUGCGUAUAGGAAAGGAAAGAUGGACAAUGCUCUCGAACUUUUAUGAUUGUUCUGAAGCACUGGUUGAUGGUGCCAGAGAAGAAAUCAGAAGAGGUACAAAACGGAAAGUGUUUAUAAUGUUACUAACGAUUUAUUGUUUCGUUCAAACAAUUUGGUCUAUGUGGGCUCCGUUAUGCUUUUUUUAAACAGUCACUCAGGGUUUGGUAUCUGAUUGAUAACAAGUGUGCUAUGUCGGGAUGGUGAAAGAGCUUGGCAUUCCUAGAGGGAAUGGAAAACUGUUUCCUUUAAUUUUGUAGCUGACCACAUGUUUUCCAAAUGCUCCAGGACCCGUUAUAGCACCUAUUUGCUUAUAGAUUUCCAUCUGAUCUGAGUUAUAUAUUCAAAUUGUUUAUUGAGCUCCAUCUUCAUCGUUCUUGGCGGAAAUUUGAAUAAAUCUUUGGUGAAGACCUCCACUCCGUUGAAAGGACCAGGUGGACAAGGACCUGGCUUCGCUUGGAAUAGCCAAUUGACGCCAAGUAGCAAAAAGGAGAAACGACUGGUGUGCUGUUGUUAACUCAGGUAUAAACGCGUAAACAGUGUCUACGCCAAUAAAGAAGAAAAAGACGGUAAGGCUAGCAAUGCGGCCGGCUAUCUUUGUAUAUAUAAUCUUUCUGAAUACUCCCGUACUUUUCAAUAGAACUCCACAGACUAUGCCUAGUGAUUCCGCUUGAAAAAGAGUAGAAGUUCCGUUCACAUCUAGAGGGUGUCCUCAUCUGGAAGUAGCUACUGAAUUUAAACCUUAGGUUGUCCUUGUUGUUGUUUUCACCUGGUAGUUUUUGCUAAAAGUACGCCGCACAAAGAUAGCGAGCAGAGAAACGACCAAACGAAAACAAUAGGGGAUUCUCUUGCUCUUGCAAGAUUGCACGAUAACACAAAAGGCAAACAUCCUAUACCGAAAUAUGCAAGGCCAUGAGAGCACCCAUUGCGGAAUAGUGAUAUAUGAACAGCUGAUUCGAUCAAUUUAUUAUGAAUGACUAUUGCGCAAGACUAUUGUGAAUUUGCACACCUUCUUCCUUCUUUCUUGACAAAAAACUGUAAAUAAUCUUUUUAUUUAAGUGGAAGUUAUAAAAUCUAUGUGAAACAUACCAACAAUUUCCUCAACAACCUCAACAAUUUAAAGCUUAGUAUCCAGCUCUCAAGAAAUGUAAAAAAUUCAUGUAAAAAACGCUUAAGAAACGGUCAAGAAACUUUCCUGCGAUAAAUUUACUUGUGCUAGUAUGCAGCUCUAAAGUAAUCUAGUACUAAUUUUUAAUACAUUUUUUCAAUAAAAUGCAAAUAUGGCAAACCUGGUUUUGCGAAGAAACAUGAAAUCAAUAAUUGUUUCUUGAAGGAAGUUCAAAGUAAUCGUUAAAUUCAUCCUAAUAGCCCUGACAGAUGGCAGCGUUAAACCGGAUUAACUGCUUUUUUCGGGAUUAAUUCAGGAGUUACCACAGCUAACUCCGUUGCUGAAUCCAAACAUAACUCUCAUAAUUUUAGGGAGUUUGUGGGAUUUUCGUAGGCAACAUUGUUAAUAAUUGACAGCUGUAUUCUGUUGUGAAUGAAAAAUAAGAACAGUGACAGCCGUUUUACGUUUAAAUGUAAACAAAGUUAUUUUGAAAAGCGACCAUUAAAGAUAAAAAAUAGCUGGCAGAAAAAAGCGUUCAGGGUGGACUUUAAAGAAUGAGUUGGAGCUGCUGGAAAAGUGGGAGGCACGUUCCCACGACCUCCGGCGUACAAAGCGAAAUACUCAUAUACAUAUACAAUGAGAUUUCACAGGAAAUGGCACAAAAAUACACCGCCGAGGAAAUUCACUGCAAAGUGAAAAACAUGACAAAGAAAUACAGGUGAGUUUUUUCAAUAAUUACAUUUCUUCUUUUAACACAUUAAUAACUCUUCUUUGAGAGAGGAGAAAACCAAAAUUGGCCCUUCUGGUGGUAGUCCCUCGUUUUUUCGUGAAUACAUAUCGUUAUUUGUUGUUUACCGAGUUCUUCAGAAAAUAACAUCAUCCGCAAAAAUGUCAAAAUUUAAUAUUUAUUUUAUUUCAUUUUUUAGAGAGGUAUUAGCACUUCAAUGAAAAUACGUACAUCGACACAUCUUGUUUGCUAUUUUGAAUAUACUAAAUAGAUAUCAAUCAAUUGCCGUUUUUUUAGGUUCGUAUCCAGCUCUCAAGUAAUUGCUCAAGAAAAAAAUACAUUAGGGGUAUUCUCUUGCUCUUGCAAGAUUGCAGAUUGCAAAAAUACUAUACCGAAAUAUACAAAUUCUUCAAGUAAUUUAGACAGCUGGUCACGCAUUGUGAAUGAUCCACAUUAGAAGAGCAAGAGAGAAUAAACAAAGAAAAUAAACUUUGUGUCUAAUAUGUAUGUAUGUAUGUGUAUAGUAACAUAAAUAUUUUCAUUGCGGUUUUAGGAAUGUUGUUGAUUGGUUAGUUUUAUACAACAUUUCAAAAUGAAAUAUACUUCAUAAUAAUGAUUUUAACUAAUUUAGGAUGAACUUAACGAUUACUUUGGAUUUCCUUCAAGAAACAAUUGUUGAUUUCAUGUUUCUUCGCAAACCCAGGUUUGCCAUAUUCGCAUUUUAUUAAAAAAAUAUAUUAAAAAUUAGUACUAGAUUUCUUUAGAGUUGCAUACUACCACAAGUAAAUUUAUCGCUGGAAAGUUUCUUGGCCGUUUCUUAAGCGUUUUUUUAUAUGAAGUUUUUACAUUUCUUAGAGUUGGAUACUAAGCUUAACCUAUAACUACUAAUACUUAGCUAUUUAAAGGUGGGUUUCCAGCUCUCAAGAAAAGCAAAAACUUCCUACAAAAAAACGCUUAAAAAAUGAUCAAGAAGUUUUCUAGUGUUAAAUUUUCUUGUAGCAACAUCCAGCUCUCAAGAAAUUAAGUAAGUAUAUUUACUACUUUUAUUGUAUAAUUUCUAUAUAUUUCUGACGCAAAUUGAGUGGGAAGAAGAAGUAAGUUGGGGGUUUUAUUUGAAUUUUGUAUGUUAUUUCGUUUAAUCCUUGGAAAUGGAAGACAUAAUAUCUGUAGCAAAGCGGCAAAAGAGGAUAAAAAAUUUCACAGCGUUUGAAACACGACAACUAAUUAAAGAAGUGGAGGAGUGGCCCCGAAUAUGGGACAUAACAAACGUUAUGCACUCGAAUAAAAAUGCUUUGGAGCAGGCUUGGGUCCACAUAAGCAAUUCGAUGGAUUAGCUUACGGGAGAGCUAUCGCUAUCACGCCAAAGUGGCCCGGAAGCACAAAAGUGGUGGCGCUGAUGGAGAAACGCUGGAGGAGCCUUUUUUCCAGA